Molecule: ribosomal RNA, 762 nt
Filed under: uncultured bacterium
Lineage: Bacteria
Description: bacterial SSU rRNA
Rfam family: Bacterial small subunit ribosomal RNA
Source: RNAcentral
AGAGUUUGAUCAUGGCUCAGCCUGAACGCUGGCAGCGUGGCUAAGACAUGCAAGUCGAACGGAUGUAGCAAUACAUCAGUGGCGGACGGGUGAGUAAUGAAUCGCUAACGUACCGCGGAGCCUGGGAUAGCUGCCCGAAAGGGCAGGUAAUACCAGAUGAUAUAACCUGGUCGCAUGAUCGGGUUCUCAAAGCCGCAAGGCACUCUGUGAGCGGGCGAUUUUGUAUCAGCUUGUUGGUGAGGUAACGGCUCACCAAGGCUGCGACGCAUAGCCGGACUGAGAGGUUGGCCGGCCACAUUGGGACUGAGACACUGCCCAGACUCCUACGGGGGGCUGCAGUAACGAAUCUUCCGCAAUGUACGAAAGUAUGACGGAGCGACGCUGCGUGGAGGAGAAGCCCUUCGGGGUGUAAACUCCUGUCAGGGGAUACCAAGUUCUGAGGAUCCCCAGAGGAAGAGGCGGCUAACUCUGUGCCAGCAGCCGCGGUAAGACAGAGGCCUCGAGCGUUAGGCGGAAUCACUGGGCUUAAAGCGUGUGUAGGCGGAUUCUUAAGUACCUUGUGAAAUCCCACGGCUCAACCGUGGAACUGCUCGGUAUACUGGGAGUCUUGAGCCAUCCAGGGGUUACCGGAACAAACGGUGGAGCGGUGAAAUGCGUAGAUAUCGUUUGGAACGCCAAUGGUGAAAACAGGUAACUGGGGAUGUGCUGACGCUGAGACACGAAAGCCAGGGGAGCAAACGGGAUUAGAUACCCUAGUAGUCC